Erinaceus europaeus (western European hedgehog) is the source of this 1467-nucleotide long non-coding RNA. RefSeq lists it as uncharacterized. NCBI's taxonomy places the organism in Eukaryota, Metazoa, Chordata, Mammalia, Eulipotyphla, Erinaceidae. The transcript is spliced from 5 exons. The record is from RefSeq and is a predicted model, not a curated record.
GCUUCAUUCGGGCUAAUGAACCCUGUGCGGUGCCGGUUUACUGGGCUCUUUGGGGGGAGUCAGUUUAAACGUGUCAGGCUCUGGGCGCGCAGCAGUUUCUGGGGGUGAGUGCGCUCUGGCGGGUUCGGAGUGCCGUGCGGGGAAAGGAGAGGUCGCCAAGGUCUCCAGGCAGCCGGGUCUGACCGGGUGCUGCUGCAGUCCCAGCGCUGCCGCUGCCCCCUCGGGAAGGCAGGUCCAGCCGCCGACUGCCCUUCCAGCUCGGGACCCUACCUCUCCCCCCGACCUCAGCGGAAGACUCGGCCUCAUGCACCGCAGCUGGGAAGGGAGGUGCGGGGCCACCGACUGCCCAGCCGCCGCCCGCCAGCGGCCUCGGAGCUGAGCACCGACUCCCGCUGCUUCUCCUGCAGCGCCUCCCUGGAGCAGGGCUAGCUCCCACCGGGGCUGCGCGGCGGAGCUGAGCGCGGGCAUCACGGGGCGCCAGGGUCUGGAUCCCACAACCCCUGGAGCGGGGCCACUGCGGAGCCGAGAAGCCACCGGGUCCCGGCGGGUGAAAAUGCGGUUGCUCGGAAACUAAGCCCGCCUUGAGGAACGGUCGGGCUUUCCGUUUUGGGAUUUUCACAGGACCAAGUCACAUCCUUUUCUCCUAAGGCUCAAUUGCUCCCUGAUUUACAGCACCUGCUGAAAACAUGCUGUGAUGUAAUUAGCUGUGGCACUGGAGAACCAGAGAAGAGUAGAGUUUGUUCCAAUCAAAGGUAAAUAUGUUCUGAGAUGACUGACUUUGCACUUCCUUCAAAACCUCCUAUUGCCUGUCUCCCAAAAGCCCACUUAGGACCAGGCCCCUGAAGAGGAACCCAAGGGAGCAAGCUCCAGUGCUUUACUUUUGCAGAGAGAGAAAGAAAAAAAGAGAUUGCUGUACUGAGCUUCCUUCAAUGCAAUGAAGAUUGAGUUCAAACCUGUGUCAAGCACAUGGCCAAGGAGGGAUUUGAUUUAUUUUUAAAGGAUGUAUUUGCUUGUUUGUCUGUAUGUUUUGUGUAAGAGAUAACAGAGAACAGAGCAUGUCUUAGUCACCUGCAAUACUGGAGUUCCAACCUGGGGUCUCACACAUUAGAGGGGUGUGCCUGGUACUAGUUGAACCACAUCUCUGCCUACUCACUUACUGAUAUUUUUCUCUUUUAUUUUCUUUUUUCUUCUUCUUUUUUUUUUUUACAUAAACACCAUUCCCACCACCAAAAGACUGUGUCCUAUCCCAAUCACCCCCACCCACCCCUUUUUCUUUACUUUUUAUUUUUUAAUUUAUUUUUAUUAUUUUUAUUUAUUUGAUAAAGACAGCCAGAAAUUGAGAGGGAAAGGGAUGAUAAGGAGAGAGAGACAUUUUCAGUCCUGCUUCACCACUCGCAAAGUUUUCCCCCUGUAGGUGGGGGCCAGGGGCUCAAACCUGGCUCCUUGUGCACUGUAACAUGUGCACUC